AUGCCACUUGAAAAAGAUCUUCCUCAUCCCUCUCCAGAAGAGAAGAACAGGAGACACACUAAGAAGCAUCUGUUGAAGAGCCCUAAUUCCUAAUUUAUGGAUGUGGAAUGCCUAACAUGCUUUAAAAAUCACCAUGGUCUUUAGCCAUACACAAAUGGUAGUACUGUAUGUUAGCUGCUCCAUUAUCCUCUGUCAGCCUACAGGCAAAAAAGCAAGACUGGCAGAAGGAUACUUCUUCAAGAGGAAGCAACACUGA
RNAcentral lists this long non-coding RNA (256 nucleotides) under Mus musculus (house mouse). Its description in RNAcentral is "long non-coding RNA chrX:39119655-39119911". The record is from RNAcentral. Lineage: Eukaryota; Metazoa; Chordata; Mammalia; Rodentia; Muridae.